Non-coding RNA from Poecilia formosa (Amazon molly), 46 nucleotides. The record is from Rfam. NCBI's taxonomy places the organism in Eukaryota, Metazoa, Chordata, Actinopteri, Cyprinodontiformes, Poeciliidae.
ACAAAGGCUCUUUUAAGAGCCACUCACCUCUAAUCUUUACAGCAAU